This 519-nucleotide ribosomal RNA is filed under the name uncultured Glomus. RNAcentral's name for it is "SSU rRNA". It matches the Rfam family "Eukaryotic small subunit ribosomal RNA", at positions 569 to 1092 of the family's 1831-position model. The record is from RNAcentral. Lineage: Eukaryota; Fungi; Glomeromycota; Glomeromycetes; Glomerales; Glomeraceae.
AGCAGCCGCGGUAAUUCCAGCUCCAAUAGCGCAUAUUAAAGUUGCUGCAGUUAAAAAGCUCGUAGUUGAAUUUCGGGACCAUCAUGUCGGUCGUGCCUCGGUACGUACUGGCAUUGUUGGUUUCUCCCUUCUGACGAACCAUGAUGUCAUUAAUUUGGUGUCUUGGGGAAUCAGGACUGUUACUUUGAAAAAUUAGAGUGUUUAAAGCAGGCUCACGCUUGAAUACAUUAGCAUGGAAUAAUGAAAUAGGACGUUUGAUUCUAUUUUGUUGGUUUCUAGGAUCGACGUAAUGAUUAAUAGGGAUAGUUGGGGGCAUUAGUAUUCAAUUGUCAGAGGUGAAAUUCUUGGAUUUAUUGAAGACUAACUACUGCGAAAGCAUUUGCCAAGGAUGUUUUCAUUAAUCAAGAACGAAAGUUAGGGGAUCGAAGACGAUCGGAUACCGUCGUAGUUUUAACCAUAAACUAUGCCGACUAGGGAUCGGAUGAUGUUAAUUUUUAAUGACUCAUUCGGCGCCUUAAC